ACCCACCCAACACAGACAGCCCUGGGCUUUCCGCUGGAGAGGAGAAGAGGUUGCUCAUACCAUGCUAUGCUUUUGAGUGGAGGACAAGGAGCCUGUGGCUGACCUGCAGGGUAACUGCAAUAAAAAAGGAAGAAGAAAGGAAGAUGUAUCACUGGGGGAUGGAACUCAGCUUCAAAGAGUGAGGUCUAAACUAGAUGUAAACACAGAUUUUUAAUGCAUGUAGUCACAGAGACAAAACAAACCAUGUCAAAUGUGAUUGGGAAGAAGAUCCAGCUACAGCAAGAGAACAACUUACUGCUGUGAAAGGACACGGGAACAUGGUGAGAAGGCAAG
RNAcentral lists this long non-coding RNA (333 nucleotides) under Zonotrichia albicollis (white-throated sparrow). RNAcentral describes it as "lncRNA (ENSZALG00000011123.1)". Lineage: Eukaryota; Metazoa; Chordata; Aves; Passeriformes; Passerellidae. The record is from RNAcentral.